UACGGAGGGUGCGAGCGUUGUCCGGAAUCACUGGGCGUAAAGGGCGCGUAGGCGGCGCGAGUAGUCAACGGUGAAAGCCCGGGGCUCAACCCCGGGUCGGCCGUCGAUACUCUCGUGCUUGAGCACUGUAGAGGCAGGUGGAAUUCCGGGUGUAGCGGUGGAAUGCGUAGAGAUCCGGAAGAACACCGGUGGCGCAGGCGGCCUGCUGGGCAGUUUUGCUGACACUGAGGCGCGAAAGCGUGGGGAGCAAACAGG
Molecule: ribosomal RNA, 255 nt
Filed under: uncultured bacterium
Lineage: Bacteria
Description: partial 16S ribosomal RNA
Rfam family: Bacterial small subunit ribosomal RNA
Source: RNAcentral